CCAAGGUCUCCAGAUAAAAACCCAGUGUGGCCAACAUCUUGAUUUUAGCAGAGGACUUAAGCAGAGAACCAAGAUAAUCCUCUCUCCACAACUUGAUAAUGCACAAACUGCAAAUCUUCUGGUACUCACUGCUGCAAGCAAACUUGAAGUCUUUCUGAGCCUGACUCUUCAUUCCUGCCUUGUGUGACCCAGGGAUGGAGGACUGCCCUCCCAACUCAUUAUCCUCUUUGCCCAGGAGCUCCAUCCUGUUGCCAUCUGCUAAAAUCCUCAGCCCACCUGCAUAGUGAACAGCAUUCAUUGUUUUCCAGAAAUGUGCAAGAACCACAGUCUCCCCCAAGACUGAAGAUCUGCUUCAUCGACAUGGCAGGGAACGUGGCUGAACACAGAGGACUCAUUUUUGCAGCUUCCCUACCAGAGAGAGAGAGACACCCUUUUUACCCGAGUUCUGAGUUGAAAUAUCCUAGAAGAGAACUCUGAUUGGCCUGGCUUGGGUCACAUGCCUGUCCUUGAGUUGAUCAACUGUGAUUAGUUAUAAGUGUACUCAUUAGUAACUUCCCCUGGAACCUUAGAUUUGAUGUGGGGUAAGACUUCCAAAAACAAACAAAAAAAUAAAACAGAAGAAUGCUAUUUCUGGAGAAAAGAAUCUGAAAAAUAGAUUAACAAUAUAAAGGCAGCACAAGUAGCAAAGAGUUAAUAAGCUGUAAUUUCAGGAGCACUCCCUUAUUGUCUCAUAAUUCCUUGGACUACCUCCAAUAGUUAAGAAUCUUAGUAAUAACACUCUGAAAAAGGCAACUUGUGAAACUCACUUGAGUUUAAAUGACUGGUAGGCCAUCUCUUUUCUGAGAUCAGAACCUUUUGUUUGCAGAGGGAGAAAGAAAUAGGAUGGAGAAGGCAGACUUAGAGUGUCUGGAGGAAGUAGGAUGCAGGAAUUCUAUGCCACUGCCACUCCUUUGUCGUUUCUUGGUACCAAUUUCUCCCUGUCAAGCUGGUAGCGUUACUGAGGUAUCAAUACCACCAAUAGGGCCAUAGAGGUUGCAUAUCUCCAUCACUCACAUUAUACCCUAUAGAUUUCUAGAAUGUUUUACAACGUCAUUGUGAAUGGUGGCUUCUGGAGUUAAAUAAUGGGGCAGUCUACAUUGAUUAUCAAAUGUGCAUACUUGCUUCAUUUCAAAAGCUUUAUUUUAUUCUUAUUAUGUAUAUAAUACAUACAUCUG
RNAcentral lists this long non-coding RNA (1214 nucleotides) under Homo sapiens (human). RNAcentral describes it as "HSALNT0314087". The record is from RNAcentral. Lineage: Eukaryota; Metazoa; Chordata; Mammalia; Primates; Hominidae.